Molecule: ribosomal RNA, 425 nt
Filed under: uncultured bacterium
Lineage: Bacteria
Description: bacterial SSU rRNA
Rfam family: Bacterial small subunit ribosomal RNA
Source: RNAcentral
GGGGAAUUUUGGACAAUGGGGGCAACCCUGAUCCAGCCAUGCCGCGUGCGGGAAGAAGGCCUUCGGGUUGUAAACCGCUUUCGGACGGAAAGAAAUCGCCAUUCCUAAUACGAGUGGUGGAUGACGGUACCGUAAGAAGAAGCACCGGCUAACUACGUGCCAGCAGCCGCGGUAAUACGUAGGGUGCGAGCGUUAAUCGGAAUUACUGGGCGUAAAGCGUGCGCAGGCGGUUUCUUAAGCCAGACGUGAAAUCCCCGAGCUUAACUUGGGAACUGCGUUUGGAACUGGGAGACUAGAGUGUGUCAGAGGGGGGUGGAAUUCCACGUGUAGCAGUGAAAUGCGUAGAGAUGUGGAGGAACACCGAUGGCGAAGGCAGCCCCCUGGGAUAACACUGACGCUCAUGCACGAAAGCGUGGGGAGCAAAC